Molecule: long non-coding RNA, 717 nt
Organism: Peromyscus leucopus (white-footed mouse)
Lineage: Eukaryota; Metazoa; Chordata; Mammalia; Rodentia; Cricetidae
Exons: 3
Source: RefSeq, a predicted model, not a curated record
GAUAGCAGGGAUAGUGUGGACAUCUGCAAGGACGUGGGCAACUCAUUAGGGAGGAAUUUUCAGAACUAGAGAGGGAGACGCUGCAGUGAAAACUGGUGCUGAGGGAGAAUCACUACCCACCCUCUCACCCCAUGCCUCCUCCACCACCACCUCCACCCUCUUUCCACGUACGUAGUUGUGUUUAGAGAUACACAAUUGGAGGAAGCCCAGCUCUGGGUGACUACAAGAAGCUCUGUGUGCUAGGCACUGUGCUGGGGAAGGAAGGACAACAUCCCAUUGCCAUCCGAGCUUCAUUUCCAUCAGCAUUGAAGAAUCACUUAGAAAUCCCAAGCACCAUGAUCAAGGGUGACAGAAAUGAGAAAGAAGAACACCCUCUGCUCCCAGCCUGGAAAGAGAAUUUGAGCAUCAGGUUGUCUUAGCUGUCUCCUCAGAUGCUCCAUGUUUCACCCAUUUUCCUGGCCCCAAGCUUCUUGCUCAGCUGCAGCAGCCAUUACCAAGACUGAUGCAUGUGGCUGGAUUAGCCUUGACACUUGACCCUUAUCUGUGGAUUGAAUGGCCAGGGUCUCCACCACUUCCGGUUCCCAUGAACACACUGACCAGGAACUGUUACUGGAAGUGCAGGAGAUUACAGGUCCAGCUUCAGGAGAAUCUUCUGAGAACCCUUUUAGUAGUCUUUCCUGACCUGAACUCAUCUCUUCCUUACUACUUCCUGGAUCC